AAGAGUCUUUCUCUCCUUAUCCCCCGAGCAUUUCGGUCCCUCGUGAUUCGACUUCUCUUUCUGUAGUUUUAGUAUAGUAAGGUGAGCGCUGAAGCGCUGCACGAAUCUUUCUUAGAAAGAUUCAGCGACGAAGUUCUGCCCCUACAGAGCCCGACUCCUAGCUAAAAUCCCCUUGUUUCGUCGAAGGAAAUUAUUUUAAAGUAAACGAAGCGCUGUCCGAGUACCGAGUCACCACCUCCUCAAGUGUUGAUAUGAAGUGACACUACACUGAGAGAUUUAAAGAGAUGUAGAUCACUAGUGUAAAUAAUUGUAUUUGUUGAGUAAAAGAGCUACGAAUUCACGUUUUGAAGUGAUUUCACUACCAAACCAAAGGUAGCUUAGGAGCUUGGCUUGGUGAGAUGGGGUCACUUUUGGGGGUGAUUUGAAGAAGGGAGCAUGCUUAGGAUGUUCGAGGGAAGCUCUCGGUGAAGUUUCGGAGAUAAAUUGAAGAAAUGGAAAAAAAAAAUCAGAAAUUGACUAUUUUGUACUACAUUACACGGCCCGCGCAUUGGCAUGUCAUACAUUACGCGGUCGUGUUUUGCAAGCAAUUCAACACAUCAGGGCCAUUACACGUCCGUGUAACAGCAAUGCAUACGUUACACGGGCCGUGUAACGUGAUUUGACUGAUCUUUGAAUGUGUAACUCCUGAUUUAUCUUUGGUUCCUGGGAUAUUUUGACAUAACUUCAACUUGGGACUUCAAAAAGGGGAUUUUGGGAGAUCAUACCACUACUUAGCACUUUGGAAACACUUUAAUUUGCAUUUUGUAAGUUGAUUUUAAGAUCAAAACUUGUUGAAUUUGUAGUUUGAUUUAGCGUAGCUAACUUCUCUAUCAUUUCCGAUUCCAGAUUCUUAAGUGUUUGUUGUUAGAUUGUAAUUUGCACUUGAUUUUAUGUUUAUCAUCUAGUAA
Lactuca sativa (garden lettuce) is the source of this 947-nucleotide non-coding RNA. NCBI's taxonomy places the organism in Eukaryota, Viridiplantae, Streptophyta, Magnoliopsida, Asterales, Asteraceae. The record is from RefSeq and is a predicted model, not a curated record.